RNAcentral lists this ribosomal RNA (530 nucleotides) under uncultured bacterium. Its description in RNAcentral is "partial 16S ribosomal RNA". It matches the Rfam family "Bacterial small subunit ribosomal RNA", at positions 28 to 523 of the family's 1533-position model. The record is from RNAcentral.
GACGAACGCUGGCGGCGUGCCUAAUACAUGCAAGUCGAACGAACUCUGGUAUUGAUUGGUGCUUGCAUCAUGAUUUACAUUUGAGUGAGUGGCGAACUGGUGAGUAACACGUGGGAAACCUGCCCAGAAGCGGGGGAUAACACCUGGAAACAGAUGCUAAUACCGCAUAACAACUUGGACCGCAUGGUCCGAGCUUGAAAGAUGGCUUCGGCUAUCACUUUUGGAUGGUCCCGCGGCGUAUUAGAUAGAUGGCGGGGUAACGGCUCCCCAUGGCAAUUAUACGUAGCCGACCUGAGAGGGUAAUCGGCCACAUUGGGACUGAGACACGACCCAAACUCCUACGGGAGGCAGCAGUAGGGAAUCUUCCACAAUGGACGAAAGUCUGAUGGAGCAACGCCGCGUGAGUGAAGAAGGGUUUCGGCUCGUAAAACUCUGUUGUUAAAGAAGAACAUAUCUGAGAGUAACUGUUCAGGUAUUGACGGUAUUUAACCAGAAAGCCACGGCUAACUACGUGCCAGCAGCCGCCGUAA